GACGAACGCUGGCGGCGUGCUUAACACAUGCAAGUCGAACGGUAAGGCCCUUCGGGGUACACGAGUGGCGAACGGGUGAGUAACACGUGGGUGAUCUGCCCUGCACUUCGGGAUAAGCCUGGGAAACUGGGUCUAAUACCGGAUAGGACUCCUGGCUUCAUGGUUGGGGGUGGAAAGCUUUUGCGGUGUGGGAUGGGCCCGCGGCCUAUCAGCUUGUUGGUGGGGUAAUGGCCUACCAAGGCGACGACGGGUAGCCGGCCUGCGAGGGUGACCGGUCACACUGGGACUGAGAUACGGCCCAGACUCCUACGGGAGGCAGCAGUGGGGAAUAUUGCACAAUGGGCGAAAGCCUGAUGCAGCGACGCCGCGUGAGGGAUGACGGCCUUCGGGUUGUAAACCUCUUUCAGCUAUGACGAAGCGCAAGUGACGGUAGUAGCAGAAGAAGGACCGGCCAACUACGUGCCAGCAGCCGCCGCCG
Molecule: ribosomal RNA, 478 nt
Filed under: uncultured bacterium
Lineage: Bacteria
Description: partial 16S ribosomal RNA
Rfam family: Bacterial small subunit ribosomal RNA
Source: RNAcentral